Molecule: ribosomal RNA, 253 nt
Filed under: uncultured bacterium
Lineage: Bacteria
Description: partial 16S ribosomal RNA
Rfam family: Bacterial small subunit ribosomal RNA
Source: RNAcentral
UAUGUAGGGUGCGAGCGUUGUCCGGAAUUAUUGGGCGUAAAGAGCUCGUAGGCGGUGUGUCGCGUCGGUCGUGAAAACUCGAGGCUUAACCUCGAGAUGUCAUCGGAAACCAUUUGGCUAGAGUCCGGAAGAGGAGAGUGGAAUUCCUGGUGUAGCGGUGAAAUGCGCAGAUAUCAGGAAGAACACCAAUGGCGAAAGCAGCUCUCUGGGACGGUACUGACGCUGAGACGCGAAAGCGUGGGGAGCGAACAGG